This 73-nucleotide transfer RNA is filed under the name Mariprofundus aestuarium. RNAcentral describes it as "tRNA-Cys". It matches the Rfam family "tRNA". Rfam says of the family: Transfer RNA (tRNA) molecules are approximately 80 nucleotides in length. Their secondary structure includes four short double-helical elements and three loops (D, anti-codon, and T loops). Further hydrogen bonds mediate the characteristic L-shaped molecular structure. tRNAs have two regions of fundamental functional importance: the anti-codon, which is responsible for specific mRNA codon recognition, and the 3' end, to which the tRNAs corresponding amino acid is attached (by aminoacyl-tRNA synthetases). tRNAs cope with the degeneracy of the genetic code in two manners: having more than one tRNA (with a specific anti-codon) for a particular amino acid; and 'wobble' base-pairing, i.e. permitting non-standard base-pairing at the 3rd anti-codon position. Lineage: Bacteria; Pseudomonadati; Pseudomonadota; Candidatius Mariprofundia; Mariprofundales; Mariprofundaceae. The record is from RNAcentral.
GGCAGGGUGGCUCAGUGGCUACGGCGGAGGACUGCAAAUCCUUUAUUCGCGAGUUCGAUUCUCGCCCCUGCCU